CCUGCAUCUUUCCGGUUCUAAAUGCCCGCAGCAGCCUCGUCAAGCCUUCCUCCACUCCGUCCAGUAAUAUUUUUCCGGGGUCUGCGUCGCGGCAUUUUCCCGUUCCAUGGCUGCCCUUACCGGUUCGAUUUCAUUUCGCCGCGUGAUGUGUCCAAGCCAAGAUACUAUGAUAUCCUCUGGCUUUCGACGCAAUUAGUAAUCGUUCCCGUUUCCAACGUGUCCUGUAACACUCUGUUGCGCACCUUCUACGUCAUAAUGGUUCGAACGUACGGACGGAAAUCGAUAAGCGGUGUGCGGCUUAUCGCUCCUGUACUUCACGAACAGUCCGCGAUUGUAGAACGUGAACAAGACAAUAUUAAAC
Non-coding RNA from Cinara cedri, 361 nucleotides. The record is from the annotation of a GenBank genome assembly. Lineage: Eukaryota; Metazoa; Arthropoda; Insecta; Hemiptera; Aphididae.